GGCAGCCGCCGCGGUAACACCGGCGGCCCGAGUGGUGAUCGUGAUUAUUGGGUCUAAAGGGUCCGUAGCCGGUUUGGUCAGUCCUCCGGGAAAUCUAAUAGCUCAACUAUUAGGCUUUCGGGGGAUACUGCCAGACUUGGAACCGGGAGAGGUAAGAGGUACUACAGGGGUAGGAGUGAAAUCUUGUAAUCCCUGUGGGACCACCUGUGGCGAAGGCGUCUUACCAGAACGGGUUCGACGGUGAGGGACGAAAGCUGGGGGCACGAACCGGAUUAGAUACCCGGGUAGUCCCAGCCGUAAACGAUGCUCGCUAGGUGUCAGGCAUGGCGCGACCGUGUCUGGUGCCGCAGGGAAGCCGUGAAGCGAGCCACCUGGGAAGUACGGCCGCAAGGCUGAAACUUAAAGGAAUUGGCGGGGGAGCACAACAACGGGUGGAAGCCUGCGGUUUAAUUGGACUCAACGCCGGACAACUCACCGGGGGCGACAGCAAUAUGUAGGCCAAGCUGAAGACUUUGCCUGAAUCGCUGAGGGGAGGUGCAUGG
This 542-nucleotide ribosomal RNA is filed under the name uncultured archaeon. Its description in RNAcentral is "bacterial SSU rRNA". It matches the Rfam family "Archaeal small subunit ribosomal RNA", at positions 457 to 997 of the family's 1478-position model. The record is from RNAcentral.